UACGGGGGGGGCAAGCGUUGUUCGGAAUUACUGGGCGUAAAGGGCUCGUAGGUGGCCAACUAAGUCAGACGUGAAAUCCCUCGGCUUAACCGGGGAACUGCGUCUGAUACUGGAUGGCUUGAGGUUGGGAGAGGGAUGCGGAAUUCCAGGUGUAGCGGUGAAAUGCGUAGAUAUCUGGAGGAACACCGGUGGCGAAGGCGACAUCCUGGACCAAUUCUGACGCUGAGGAGCGAAAGCCAGGGGAGCGAUCCGG
This 253-nucleotide ribosomal RNA is filed under the name uncultured bacterium. RNAcentral describes it as "partial 16S ribosomal RNA". It matches the Rfam family "Bacterial small subunit ribosomal RNA", at positions 524 to 776 of the family's 1533-position model. The record is from RNAcentral.